This 429-nucleotide ribosomal RNA is filed under the name Bacillota bacterium. Its description in RNAcentral is "Firmicutes bacterium partial 16S ribosomal RNA". It matches the Rfam family "Bacterial small subunit ribosomal RNA", at positions 355 to 776 of the family's 1533-position model. The record is from RNAcentral. Lineage: Bacteria; Bacillati; Bacillota.
UGGGGAAUUUUGGACAAUGGGGGCAACCCUGAUCCAGCAAUGCCGCGUGUGUGAAGAAGGCCUUCGGGUUGUAAAGCACUUUUGUCCGGGAAGAAAUCGCACCUGAUAAUACCGGGUGUGGAUGACGGUACCGGAAGAAUAAGGACCGGCUAACUACGUGCCAGCAGCCGCGGUAAUACGUAGGGUCCAAGCGUUAAUCGGAAUUACUGGGCGUAAAGCGUGCGCAGGCGGUUGUGCAAGACCGAUGUGAAAUCCCCGGGCUUAACCUGGGAAUUGCAUUGGUGACUGCACGGCUAGGGUGUGUCAGAGGGGGGUAGAAUUCCACGUGUAGCAGUGAAAUGCGUAGAGAUGUGGAGGAAUACCGAUGGCGAAGGCAGCCCCCUGGGAUAACACUGACGCUCAUGCACGAAAGCGUGGGGAGCAAACAGG